UUCCGGUGGAUCCUGCGGGACCUGACUGCUAUCGGAUUGGUACUAAGCCAUGCGAGUCGUUGUAGCAAUACAAGGCGGACGGCUCAGUAACACGUAGUCAACCUAACCUAUGGACGUGGAUAACCUCGGGAAACUGAGAAUAAACCGCGAUAGAUCAUUAUGCCUGGAAUGGCUUAUGGUUCAAACAAUUUAUUGCCGUAGGAUGGGACUGCGGCCUAUCAGCUUGUUGGUGAGGUAAUGGCCCACCAAGGCUAUAACAGGUACGGGCUCUGAGAGGAGAAGCCCGGAGAUGGGUACUGAGACACGGACCCAGGCCCUAUGGGGCGCAGCAGGCGAGAAACCUUAGCAAUGUGCGAAAGCACGACUAGGUUAAUCCGAGUGAUUUCUGUUGAAGAAAUCUUUUGUCAGUCGUAAAACCACAGACGAAUAAGGGGUGGGCAAGUCUGGUGUCAGCCGCCGCGGUAAUACCAGCACCUCGAGUGGUCAGGAGGUUUAUUGGGCCUAAAGCAUCCGUAGCCGGCUACGCAAGUCUCCGGUUAAAUCCAGCUGCUCAACAGAUGGGCUGCCGGAGAUACUACAUAGCUAGGGAGCGGGAGAGGUAGACGGUAUUCUGUGGGUAGGGGUAAAAUCCACUGAUCCAUAGAGGACCACCAGUGGCGAAGGCGGUCUACCAGAACGCGUUCGACGGUGAGGGAUGAAAGCUGGGGGAGCAAACCGGAUUAGAUACCCGGGUAGUCCCAGCUGUAAACGAUGCAAACUCGGUGAUGCAUUGGCUUAUGGCCAAUGCAGUGCCGCAGGGAAGCCGUUAAGUUUGCCGCCUGGGAAGUACGGACGCAAGUCUGAAACUUAAAGGGAUUGGCGGGGGAGCC
RNAcentral lists this ribosomal RNA (869 nucleotides) under uncultured archaeon. Its description in RNAcentral is "bacterial SSU rRNA". It matches the Rfam family "Archaeal small subunit ribosomal RNA", at positions 1 to 878 of the family's 1478-position model. The record is from RNAcentral.